UCCACGCCCUACUACUUCUCAAAGUAGCAAAAAGGGCUUGUCGGGUUUGUCGCAUUUAAAAGUUUUACAUUCACAUCCAACUCCUUCUUGUACUGCAAACUUUGAUUAGUAUCACUUUUAUUUGAUGCAGCCAAAUGUGGAUAUCAAGGAACUAGAUGAUUUGGACGUCUUAGCAUGGUGGAAGAAAUACAAGGCAAGUCAUCCGAUACUCUCAAGAAUGGCUCGAGAUAUCCUUACGGUUCAAGUAUCAACCGUGGCUUCGGAGAUGUGCAUUCGCGAUUGGAUUAGAUCGGAGCGACGCAACCAAAACUUAGAAGCGAAGGAAGGCGAA
This is a long non-coding RNA of Lycium ferocissimum, 331 nucleotides long. RefSeq lists it as uncharacterized. The record is from RefSeq and is a predicted model, not a curated record. The transcript is spliced from 2 exons. NCBI's taxonomy places the organism in Eukaryota, Viridiplantae, Streptophyta, Magnoliopsida, Solanales, Solanaceae.